CCCCAUACAAGCCACUUAGCAUUCAUAACAUAAGAAAUAGAACAAUGAGGUAAAGAAAUACAACAUUUCAAGUCCAAAGUUUUAUAAAACUAAAACGGAAGUCUAAACACUUUGUCUCAAUAACCAUCUAGUACAAUAGAAUGAAAUUGGGCAUGGCCUAUACAUCAUGUUCAAAACUGAAAGUAAAGAAGAAAACUAGAAACAACGAAAAUCCGUCCUCGAAGCAUGAGGACUCACCAAAGCUCAGAAUCUCUCCUGUCAAUCUCUAGCCAUGAAACUGAGAACCCUGAUUGUCAGACCCUACAUUUGGGGAAAUGUAGGCAAGAGUAUGUGUUAGUACAAAAUAAUGUACCAAGUAUGAUAGCCAUGCAUAAAACAUUUAAAUCAUGCUAAAAAAGAGAUAUUUCCAUAAAUAUGCAAUGAUCAAGCUAAAACAUGUAUUGUGACACCCCGGAAACUAGUAGGCUAAACUAGAGCUAAAACGUGAGGGUUAGAGUCAUGGAAGUGGGCAAGGGACAAAGGAGAGGACUAGGGCAGUCCACUCUCCCCUAGACACUGCCCAAGCAACUAUGACCACCACUACGGCUCGUGGUGAGGACCACGCCACGUGGUGUGGACCACGCCACGUGGUGUGGCUCGUGGUAGACUAGGCAAUAGCCUUGGCAAGGCUGCCCAAAAAUAGCCCCUCCACACAAGGCCCUUUAUGGCUCGUGGUGAGGACCACAGAUCGUGAUGCCACUCGUGGAAGUGAGGCAAUGUGCCUCCAAGCUUGCCCCAAAAGAGGACGCUCCCCACGAGCCACUUGACGGCUUGUGAAGGCCACAAUGGGUCGUGGGAGGGGUCGUGGUCUUUACUUGGCCAUGAAGGGGGCAAGGUGUGGCCAUCCUAGCCACUUCCUCAAGGCCCACAGAGGGAACCACGGCUCAUGGGACCUCAUGUGGUCCCUAGGCAGGUGACUUUUAGUUGAAGGUUAAAUGGUCUUUUCCGGUUUCAAUCUAACUUAAGUGAGGUCGUUUUUCCUAAGGUUAGGACAACUAUAUAAGCCUUUUUAACUCUAAAACUCACCCAAUUAAGUCAUAUUUUCCAAAACCCAAAACAUUUCCCCAAAGUUCAUCCUCUAAAAAUUCUCUCUAGAAAGCUUGAAGAAGAAGGAGAUCCAAGAUAGGGUUCAAGAGCAAGCUUUUACACAUCAAUUUAUUUGUUAUUUUUUGUUAAUGUAUGGUAGUUUUCAUCCAUGGAUAGAUUUCAUCCAUGGAGUCCUCUCAAAAUCACCAAUUUCAAAAAGAUAGAAAUCCUCAAUUGUUAGGGUUUGAUUCCAAAGUAAUGGGUUCCUUUCCAACUUGAUUCUAAUGGUUGAAUUAUGUUGUAUUAAGCAUGAAUUGAUGAUUUUCUAUGAUUUUUUAUGAUGUAUCCCCAAGAACCCAUGAAAUUCCCAUAUUUCUCAAUUGUGAUCUUAUGAUGUGGGUCUUUGUUGAUGAAAGAGGAAUGUUAUGAAAUUAUGCAUGUAGUGAUUAAAUAACAUUAAUUAUAAUCAAAUCCAUAUCUAGUGCUUGAAUUCUAGAUGUGUUGAUUCAAAGCAAGCUUUGAAUCCAUGUCUAAUGCUUGAAUUCUAGAUGUGUUGAUUGAUUUGAACCUUGAAAGGGCAAAGUAUGAGAUCAUGCAUGCUUUAUGACAUUUAUGUAAAUGCUUUAAGAACACUUUGAGAGUGAAGUGUCCAUGAUUCUGAUAUUGUUGUUGUGUUGUUGAAAGGAUAUUCUCAUAUACACACAUAUGCAUGAACAUGAUGUGAAAAGUUUUCUCACAUAAUGAAGAUUCUAAGGUUGAAAGGCUUUCUCACCUAAUUGAAUCUAAUAUUUACAUGUUGACAUGGAUGGUGAAAGGUUUUCUCAUGCAUGAUCUAAGAGCUAUCCUAAUGAACUAAGUUUGAUUUAUUGUCAAGGACAUCCUCCCAUGAAACAUGAAUCAAGUUAGGACUUAAUAAGUACUCCGUGGGAUUAAUACUUAGCACUAAGUAGAUAUUGAUUUGAGAUGGAAGCUCUCACGUUAGUUGAGGCCGGGUUUCUAGAAGCAAUCUCUUGAGAUGGAAGCCCUCACGUUAGUUGAUGCCGGGUUUCUAGUAGCAAUCUCCUUAUUGCAUAAAUUACAUGCCCCAUAGGAUAUUUAGCUAGUGGAUCCACCUAAGCUAACAAACCAUGGUUCUGCCUUAGGCAAGUAGGACAACCCUUUUUGGUGUGGGUAACUCCGGGUGAUCAUGUUAUAGCUCACAUGGUAUCAUGUUGGUUAAGGCUUAUUCCCACAACAAGAACAUGAAUAAUGAACUAUAGUUACUCAAGAAGCUUUGUAUAUGAGUUCAAAUGUUUUAAUGAUGAUGAUGACUUAUGUUACCUAUGUUUUAUGACUUAUGAUUUCUAAUCUCUUAUCCAUGUUUAAAUUGGUAAAUUGCAUGUUUUCAAAUGAAAUGUCACUUUUUGCAUGUUUUAAAUGUUUUUAUGCAUAGCUACCAUACUUAGUGUAUUUUUGUGCUAACACCUACUUUUGCUUACAUUUUUCCCAAGUGUAGGGUCCGGCACUCGAGGUGAUCAUUCUUAUGGCUAGAGCUUGAAUUUUAUUGUGUUCCCGAGCUUGGUGAAUCCUCAUGGUUCGAGGAUGGAUUUUCAUAUGUCUAGAUUCGUUCAUGUACUUUCCCUUUUGAACAUGUUGUAUGGGCUAUGCCUUAUUUCAUUCACUAUUGUAAUAGAUGGCUAUGUUGAGGCAAACUGUCUAGACUUCCGCUUGCUUUUAUGAAAAACAUUUUAGACUUGAAAUGUGUUUUUACUCUUAUUGUUCUAUUGCUUAUGUUAUGAUAACUAAGUGGCUUGCAUGGAGUCCUUUAUGGUUCUAUACGCCAUGUUACAUCUAGGGGGUACCCUUGGGUCGUGACAAACUUAGUAUCAGAGCACAAUGUUUAGAAUGAUUUUAGGAAGAUGUCUCAUGAGCCACGUCUAGUAUAGUCUUGUUCAUGAGUGUGAAGCGCGCCACAUUUAUGAAUGAGAAGCUACAAGAUGUUUAGGAAAUUCCACUUCUCUCAUUACUCUUAAGUCGUGUGAUGGAGUUUAACUCUAUUAGGUCUUUCUCCUAAUCCUUAUCCGUUGGUCUACAUGAUAUGACUACUAGAAGGGCUUUCGCAAGAGGGAAUGAAGAAGACAAUGUGAAUCAAGGAGCUCCUCCUCAAGCUCCGAUUGAUCCGUUGGCCAAACAAGUAACAAAUGUGGAGUUUAGGGCGGCUUUUCAAGUAUUGGCUCAAGCCGUGACGGCCCAAGCCAAUAGAGAGGUUGUAGCUCCCGUGAACCUUAAAGUGAAUUCGGUGGCUUCAAGAGUGAGGGACUUAGCAAGGAUGAACCCUAUGGAAUUUUAUGGCUUCAAAGUGGAGAAAGACCCUCAAGAGUUUAUCGAUUCUAUAAGGUACUUGCUAUUAUGGGGGUGACUCUGGUAGAGAAGGCUGAGUUAGCCACUUACCAAUUGAAAGGUAUUGCUUAAGUGUGGUAUAAUCAAUGGAAGGAGGGGAGGCCGGUAGGAGCGGGUCCCGUAGAGUGGGAAGUGUUUAAAUCAACAUUUCUUGAAAGGUUAUUUCAACUUGAAUUGAGGGAAGCUAAGAUGUAAGAGUUCAUUAACAUUCAUCAAGGAAGUAUGAGUGUAAGGGAGUAUGCUCUAAAGUUCACCCAACUAUCCAAGUACGCUUCAACUAUGGUGGUGGAUUUAAGGGCAAAGAUGAAUAAAUUUGUGAUGUGAGUGUCCGACAUAGUAGUCAAAGAAUUUCGUACGUCAAUGCUUGUACAAGAUAUGGAUAUUUCACGUCUCAUGGUGCAUGCACAACAAAUUGAGGAAGAUAAACUUAAAGAACAGAAUAGGGAGGUAAAAAGGGCUAGGACCAAUGAUGGGAACUUCUCCAAUACAAGGUCCGCUAGACAAGGUCGACCUAGGUUUAAACAAAGAUUUUCCAGUCAAGGUUUCUCCAACGCUCCUCCAAGGGUGAACAAGGAUAGGGUGUCUAACCCUAAACCUCAAGGAGGUAAUGGUAGUGGAUCUUUUGUGGCUAGGCCUACUCGUGUGAAGUGUGGGAAGAAAAAUGAUGGUAAGUGCCUAGCCGGCACAGAUGGUUGUUUUGGUUGUGGAAAGAGUUGGCACAAAAUGAGGGAUUGUCCGGUGCUCAUGGCUAAGAGAAGAAAGGGAAAGCAAGCUCUUCCUAGUGGUUCAAACUCCAAUGCUCCCAAGCAAAACCGCUUCUAUUCUCUCCAAAACCGAGGCAAACAAGAGAAUUCUCCGGACGUGGUCACCAGUUUAUUAAUUUUUUUCCAUAGAGAUGUGUAUGCCUUGUUAGACCCCGGUGCUACUUUGUCUUUUGUGACGCCAUAUGUGGCAACGAGAUUUGAUGUGCUCCCUGAUAUGUUGUUAGAAUCUUUUUCUGUCUCUAUCCCUAUUGGUGACUCUGUGGUGGCUAAGAGGGUCUAUAGAAGAUGUCUCGUUUCCCUAUCCCAUAGAGUUACCCUUGUUUAUUUGGUAGAGCUUGACAUGUUAGAUUUCGAUGUUAUUCUUGGUAUGGAUUGGCUACACUCUUGUUAUGUUUCUGUUGACUAUAGAACUCGUGUAGUCAAGUUCCAGUUCCUGAAUGAGCCUAUCAUUGAGUGAAAGGGGGGAAAUUCUAUGCCUAAGGGUCAGUUCGUCUUGUGUCUUAAGGCUAGAAAGAUGAUCUCUAAGGGUUGCAUUUACCAUCUUGUUAGGGUGAGGGAUGUAGAUUCCGAAACCCCUACUCUUGAGUCGGUCGUCGUUGUGAAUGAAUUUCCAGAAGUGUUCCUCGAUGAUCUACUCGGUAUUCCUCCCGAGCGGGAAAUAAACUUCGGUAUUGAACUUCUCCCAUAUACGCAACUUAUCUCAAUUCCUCCUUAGAGAAUGGCCCCGACUGAGUUAAAGAAGUUGAAAGACUUGUUGGAUAAGGGCUUCAUCCGACCAAGCAUCUCACCAUGGGGCUCUCCCGUGUUGUUUGUUAGAAAGAAAGAUGGAUCUCUUCAUAUGUGCAUCUAUUAUCGUCAGUUGAACAAAGUGACCAUUAAGAACAAGUAUCCUCUUCAAGGAUAGAUAAUUUGUUUGACAAACUACAAGGGGAAAGUUACCUCUCAAAAAUUGACCUUAGGUCGGGUUAUCACCAAUUAAGGGUGAGAGGUGAGAAUAUUCCAAAGACGGCCUUCAGGACCCGGUAUGGUCAUUAUGAAUUCUUGGUAAUGUCAUUUGGGUUGACUAAUUCCCCGACGAAGUUUAUGGACCUAAUGAAUAGAGUGUUUAGGCAAUACCUAGACAUGUUUGUGAUUGUGUUCAUUGACGACAUUUUGAUCUAUUCAAAGAGUUAGAAUGAUCAUGUUGAUCAUUUGAGAAUUGUGUUACAAGUUCUUAAGGACCACCAACUUUUUGCAAAGUUUAGCAAGUGUGAAUUUUGGUUAAGGUCUGUUGCUUUCCUUGGGCAUAUUGUGUCAAGUAGGGGUAUUGAGGUAGAUCCUAAGAAGAUGGAUGCGGUCAAGAGUUGGCCAAGAUCUCUAACCCCUUUGGACAUUAGAAACUUCUUGGGUUUGGCCGGUUAUUAUAGAAGGUUUGUUGAGGGGUUUUCUUCUAUGGCGUCUCCUUUGACGACUUUGACUCAAACGAAGGCUAAGUUCAUGUGGUCGGAAGCUUGUGAGAAAGGUUUCCAAGAGUUGAAAGAUAGACUUACUUCCGCUCUGGUGUUGACUUUACCGGAAGGUACAUAUGGUUUUAUGGUGUAUUGUGAUGCCUCUAGAAUUGGGUUGGGAUAUGUGUUUAUGCAAAAUGGUAAAGUGACUGUCUAUGCUUCAAGGCAACUUAAAGUCCAUAAGAAGAAUUAUCCUACCCGUGACCUUGAGUUGGCGGCGGUUGUUUUUGCCUUAACGAUUUAGAGGCAUUAGAUAUAUGGGGUUCAUGUUGAUGUCUUUACCAAUCACAAGAUCUUACAAUACAUGUUUAGUCAAAAGGACUUGAAUCUUCACCAAAGAAGGUGGCUUGAAUUAUUGAGAGAUUAUGACAUGAGUGUUAUUUAUCACCCCGGUAAGGCAAAUGUGGUAGCGGAUGCUCUUAGUAGAUUGUAUAUGGGUAGUGUUGCUCUUAUUGAAGAUGAUAAGAAAGAAUUGGUUCGAGCUAUUCACAGGUUGGCCUGAUUAGGUGUUCAAUUAGUGGACUACACCAAGGGUGGUGUCAUGGUUCACAAUGGGUCUGAAUCGUCUUUUGUGGCGGAUGUGAAAUCUAAGCAAGGUCUAGAUCCCAAUUUGGUUGAAUUGAAAGAGACGGUACUUAAGAAAUCCAUUGAGGCUUUCUCCCAAGGGGGAGAUGGUGUACUUAGAUACCAAGAUCGGUUGUGUGUUCCUAAUAUUGAUGACUUCAGAGAGCAAAUCUUGUCGGAAGCCCAUAGAUCUUGGUAUUCCAUUCACCCGGGAGCCACCAAGAUGUACCGUGACUUGCGGGAGGUCUAUUGGUGGAAUGGGAUGAAGAAAGAUAUUGCGGAAUUUGUGGUUAAGUGUCCUAAUUGUCAACAAGUUAAGGUUGAGCAUCAAAGACCGGGAGGGUUAUCCCAAGAUAUCGGUAUUCCUACUUGGAAGUGGGAAGAGGUGAACAUAGACUUUAUUAUGGGUUUGCCUCGCACCCGGAGACAACAUGACUCUAUUUGGGUUAUUGUAGAUCGGAUGACAAAAUUGGCUCACUUUAUUCCCCUCAAGGUUUCCUUUUCGGCGGAGGACUAUACCAAAUUGUAUAUAAGAGAAAUGGUGAAGUUGCAUGGAGUGCCUCUAUCCAUUAUUUCCGAUCGUGGCCCUCAAUUCACUUCUCACUUUUGGAGGUCAUUUCAAAAGGGCUUGGCACCAAGGUUAAGCUUAGAACAACUUUUCAUCCCCAAACCAAUGGGCAAGAGGAGCGUACCAUCCAAAUGUUGGACGAUAUGUUAAGGGCAUGUGUAAUUGAUUUUAAGGGUAUUUGGGAUGACCAUUUGCCAUUGAUAGAGUUUGCCUACAAUAAUAUCCAUCAUUCAAGUAUCGGUAUGGCUCCAUUUGAGGCCUUGUAUGGUAGGAGAUGUAGGUCUCCCGUUGGUUGGUUUGAGGUGGGUGAAGUUUCCCUAAUAGGUCCCGAAUUGGUCAAUGGGGCCAUUGAGAAAGUCUGACUCAUUAGAGAGUGGUUGAGAACGGCUCAAAGUCGGCAAAAGUCUUAUGCCGAUGUGAGGAGAAGAGAUCUAGAAUUUUAGGUUAACGAUUGGGUCUAUUUAAAAUUUCACCUAUGAAGAGUGUGAUGAGAUUUGGUAAGAAGGGGAAACUUAGUCUCCGGUAUGUAGGCCCAUACCAAAUUUUGAGACUUGUUGGUAAAGUUGCCUAUGAGUUAGAUUUGCCAAAUGAGUUGACUUCGAUGCAUUCUGUAUUCUAUGUCUCUAUGCUUAAGAAGUGUGUUCGAGAUCCGACAUCCAUUAUUCCCUUAGAAGGAUUGGGAGUCGAUGAAAAUUUUAUCAUAUGAGGAAGUUCAGGUAGAGAUUCUAGACCGGCAAGUUAAGAGAUUGAGAAAUAAGGAAAUAGCUUCCGUGAAAUUUUUAUGGAGGAAUCAACUAGUUGAGGGUGAUACUUGGGAGGCUGAGGCCGAUAUGAAGUCCCGCUAUCCUCAUCUUUUUCCUUCUACUCCUAUUCUAGCUAGAGGUAAGUAGUUCCUCUUGAGUUGUCCUUAUUUUGGGAGUCAUGUGUGUUAUAUGAGUUUUCCAUGAUUUCCCUAUGUCAUUCAUGUUCAUGAGAAAUUUAUGUUUAGAAAUAAAAUGAGUUUAUAUGAUUGAUUUUCCUCAUGUUGUUGAGUAUUGAGUAUGAAUUGCCUAUUGACUUCAUCAGAUGAAUUGAUGAACAUGCUUUAAAUUGUGUUUUUUGAGAACAAAUUGCAUAAAAGGCUCCAUGAGAUUGUGUUGAGCAUGUUUUUAGCUUGGAGAAGGUAAUUCCUCCUAAGAACAUGAGAAGUGUUGAAAUUUCAUGCAUAAUGGGUUGUUAGAUGUAGUUCCUACUUCCUUGUGAUGCAUUGAGUAUGUUUGAGUGUAGAGUUGAUGUUUCCUCCUUCAUUUUGUGCAUUGUUAUGAUGUUGCAUGUAUGAUGGGAUGCUAGUCUUGAGUCUUUACUUCCGUAAGGUGUCUAAAGCGUCAUUUGAGGACGAAUGUUCCCAAGGGGGAGAUAUUGUGACACCCCGGAAACUAGUAGGCUAAACUAGAGCUAAAAUGUGAGGGUUAGAGUCAUAGAAGUGGGCAAGGGCCAAGGGAGAGGACUAGGGCAGUCCACUCUCCCCUAGACACUACCCAAGCAACCAUGACCACCACCAUGGCUUGUGGUGAGGACCACGACACGUGGUGUGGCUCGUGGUAGGCUAGGCAAUAACCUUGACAAGGCUGCGCAAAAAUAUCCCCUCCAGACGAGGACCUUGAUGGCUAAUGGUGGUCACCACGGAUCGUGGUCCCACUCGUGGAGGUGAGGUAGUGUGCCUCCAAGGAUGCCCCAAAAAAGGACCCUCCCUACGAGCCACUUGACGGCUCGCGAAGGCCACCAAGGGCCAUAAGAGGGGUCCUGGUCUUUACUUGGCCAUGAAGGGGGCAAGGUGUGGCCACC
Molecule: long non-coding RNA, 8651 nt
Filed under: Solanum tuberosum (potato)
Lineage: Eukaryota; Viridiplantae; Streptophyta; Magnoliopsida; Solanales; Solanaceae
Description: long non-coding RNA (STUB_LNC005832)
Source: RNAcentral